ACGAACGCUGGCGGCAUGCCUAACACAUGCAAGUCGCACGAGACCUUCGGGUCUAGUGGCGCACGGGUGCGUAACGCGUGGGAACCUGCCCUUAGGUUCGGAAUAACUCCCCGAAAGGGGUGCUAAUACCGGAUAAUGUCUUCGGACCAAAGAUUUAUCGCCUUUGGAUGGGCCCGCGUUGGAUUAGCUAGUUGGUAGGGUAAAGGCCUACCAAGGCGACGAUCCAUAGCUGGUCUGAGAGGAUGAUCAGCCACACUGGGACUGAGACACGGCCCAGACUCCUACGGGAGGCAGCAGUGGGGAAUAUUGGACAAUGGGCGAAAGCCUGAUCCAGCAAUGCCGCGUGAGUGAUGAAGGCCUUAGGGUUGUAAAGCUCUUUUACCCGGGAUGAUAAUGACAGUACCGGGAGAAUAAGCUCCGGCUAACUCCGUG
RNAcentral lists this ribosomal RNA (432 nucleotides) under uncultured bacterium. RNAcentral's name for it is "partial 16S ribosomal RNA". It matches the Rfam family "Bacterial small subunit ribosomal RNA", at positions 29 to 507 of the family's 1533-position model. The record is from RNAcentral.